CGUGAGGGAAAGGCGAAAAGAACCCCGGCGAGGGGAGUGAAAAAGAACCUGAAACCGUGUACGUACAAGCAGUGGGAGCACAGGUUUACCUGUGUGACUGCGUACCUUUUGUAUAAUGGGUCAGCGACUUAUAUUCUGUAGCAAGGUUAACCGUAUAGGGGAGCCGCAGGGAAACCGAGUCUUAAUUGGGCGUUAAGUUGCAGGGUAUAGACCCGAAACCCGGUGAUCUAGCCAUGGGCAGGUUGAAGGUUGGGUAACACUAACUGGAGGACCGAACCGACUAAUGUUGAAAAAUUAGCGGAUGACCUGUGGCUGGGGGUGAAAGGCCAAUCAAACCGGGAGAUAGCUGGUUCUCCCCGAAAGCUAUUUAGGUAGCGCCUCGUGAAUUCAUCUCCGGGGGUAGAGCACUGUUUCGGCUAGGGGGCCAUCCCGGCUUACCAACCCGAUGCAAACUGCGAAUACCGGAGAAUGUUAUCACGGGAGACACACGGCGGGUGCUAACGUCCGUCGUGAAGAGGGAAACAACCCAGACCGCCAGCUAAGGUCCCAAAGUCAUGGUUAAGUGGGAAACGAUGUGGGAAGGCCCAGACAGCCAGGAUGUUGGCUUAGAAGCAGCCAUCAUUUAAAGAAAGCGUAAUAGCUCACUGGUCGAGUCGGCCUGCGCGGAAGAUGUAACGGGGCUAAACCAUGCACCGAAGCUGCGGCAGCGACGCUGAUGCGUUGUUGGGUAGGGGAGCGUUCUGUAAGCCUGCGAAGGUGGCCUGUGAGGGUUGCUGGAGGUAUCAGAAGUGCGAAUGCUGACAUAAGUAACGAUAAAGCGGGUGAAAAGCCCGCUCGCCGGAAGACCAAGGGUUCCUGUCCAACGUUAAUCGGGGCAGGGUGAGUCGACCCCUAAGGCGAGGCCGAAAGGCGUAGUCGAUGGGAAACGGGUUAAUAUUCCCGUACUUGGUGUUACUGCGAAGGGGGGACGGAGAAGGCUAUGUUGGCCGGGCGACGGUUGUCCCGGUUUAAGCGUGUAGGUGUGUGUUCCAGGUAAAUCCGGUUCACUUUAACACUGAGGCGUGACGACGAGGCACUACGGUGCUGAAGCAACAAAUGCCCUGCUUCCAGGAAAAGCCUCUAAGCAUCAGGUAACAUCAAAUCGUACCCCAAACCGACACAGGUGGUCAGGUAGAGAAUACCAAGGCGCUUGAGAGAACUCGGGUGAAGGAACUAGGCAAAAUGGUGCCGUAACUUCGGGAGAAGGCACGCUGACACGUAGGUGAAGUGAUUUACUCA
This 1278-nucleotide ribosomal RNA is filed under the name Salmonella enterica. RNAcentral describes it as "partial 23S ribosomal RNA". It matches the Rfam family "Bacterial large subunit ribosomal RNA", at positions 502 to 1773 of the family's 2925-position model. Lineage: Bacteria; Pseudomonadati; Pseudomonadota; Gammaproteobacteria; Enterobacterales; Enterobacteriaceae. The record is from RNAcentral.